UGGGGGAUAUUGCACAAUGGGCGAAAGCCUGAUGCAGCGACGCCGCGUGGGGGAUGAAGGCUUUCGGGUUGUAAACCUCUUUCGCUAUCGAACAAGGCCCGCUUAGGGUGGGUUGAGGGUAGGUGGAGAAGAAGCGCCGGCUAACUACGUGCCAGCAGCCGCGGUAAUACGUAGGGCGCGAGCGUUGUCCGGAAUUAUUGGGCGUAAAGGGCUUGUAGGCGGCUUGUUGCGCCUGCUGUGAAAACGCGGGGCUUAACUUCGCGCGUGCAGUGGGUACGGGCGGGCUUGAGUGUGGUAGGGGUGACUGGAAUUCCAGGUGUAGCGGUGGAAUGCGCAGAUAUCUGGAGGAACACCGAUGGCGAAGGCAGGUCACUGGGGCAUUACUGACGCUGAGGAGCGAAAGCAUGGGUAGCGAACAGG
This 420-nucleotide ribosomal RNA is filed under the name bacterium. Its description in RNAcentral is "partial 16S ribosomal RNA". It matches the Rfam family "Bacterial small subunit ribosomal RNA", at positions 355 to 776 of the family's 1533-position model. The record is from RNAcentral.